Molecule: long non-coding RNA, 3514 nt
Filed under: Homarus americanus (American lobster)
Lineage: Eukaryota; Metazoa; Arthropoda; Malacostraca; Decapoda; Nephropidae
Description: uncharacterized LOC121874522, transcript variant X2
Source: RNAcentral
ACGAGGGGGUAUUCCGUCCGGUGGUACCUGAUAAUAUAGCGUACAUUUAUGUCAAGGAAUUAUUAUAUAACAUUUAGUAGCAUGUGGAUUAGUACACGUAAAAUGGCACAGUAUAGAAUGUUACCACGAUGUUUUUGUUUUACAUUGUUAUAAUUAAGUUAUAAAUAUAUACUGUACGUAAAGUAUUUGACGGUAAUGGGAAAACAUUACUCGGGUCGUGACUUUAUUAAAUUCACCGUUGAUAGUUCUCACCAAGGAAUGGAGAUGUGAGUGACUGACUGUAGGGUAUCUUGUUAUUUCCAUCUUGGAAGAAAACUUUAUUGACUACGAUACUGCCACCGUAGGCUGUGAGUUGCUAUCAUAACUUUUUGGUUCGUUAGCUUUUCACAAAUUCUGUGAUCCACUUAUGUCUAUGGUGUAAAUACACAAGAGCAGUUUAUCUCGGAUAAUUCCCUCGUUUGGUUGUGACGGUGUUUACCGGAGAAGAAGUUCGGGGUCCCGGAAAGCACGAAUCUGGCAGUUUUGAGCUGGGAAACUUUGGCUAUAUUUCAUGAAAUGGACUUUGUUUGAAUAAUGUUGAAGAUUACACCAGAGUUUUCAAUGUAUCCUUGUACUAUGACGCCAAGGUGAAGAACAAAAUGCUGAAAAUUUGAAGUUAUUCGAAUGAGCGGGUUCGGUGAGCAGAGAGCAAAUAAUUUGACGGUUCGGCAGCGAGUCGGCGGCAAGGUGGGGUAUUUAAAGGUUGAACCGGCAAGGAUGCAUCAGUUACAAUCAGAUCCUUGUGUCUGGUGGUAGAAUUCGUGUAUAGCUACAUUAGAAGAUGCAGUUUGUGAAGAAGAAAAGAAAAUUGUAUAUAAAGUUGUGCCAAGACAUUUGUUCGUUCGGCUGUUGGUUUCCUGCACUUGAACGGUUUUCUUAAACGUUUUUCUGAGGUCUUUAACACAAGUCGUACAAUUCAUAGAUGUAUUUGACUUGAGGCCUGUGAAACCUAUUUAAGAAGCGUGGUUAACUAGCGAGAUUUUGAAUGUGUUCAUAAUAUUGUGGUGAAAACGGUAGUUUACUUGAAAUAAAAUUAAUGUGAGUUUGUAUCGUGCUAAGUGAUUCGAAAAUUUUAAGUGGAUUGUGUUGACAUUUCGUGACGGAAAGUGAAUUCACGAGAGCAUGAAGAUUAUGUAAUUAGAUGUAACAACUUGGAGAUUGAAAUAUUCUCUCGGCCUGACUCGAGCUAAAGUUGUCUGGAUACCAACUUGAAAUCAGUGUAUAUUAUAAUAUUUGAGAAAAAUGUAUUUAUGCGUGUACAUGGUUGUGGUGGGAUAUUGAAAAUCAUUGAGAAGAAUCAAAGAUGCAGUGUGUAAAGUAGUAAACAAUAUUGGUUUGUGUUUUUAAGAUUGGAUAUAGUGUUGCCAUAAAUCAGAGAGAAAGUGGCGAAGAAGAUAACUCUCCCGACAGCGACCGGAGAUAUAAGAGGAGUAAAGACUGCAGCAGCAGCAGCAGGAAGCUUGAAGGACCAGCAACACAUCUCGGUAUGACCAGUACAGACUCAACUGUACACACUGUCCACUGAGUGUCCAGACCCAUAUAUUAUGACGGCACCAAUGACAACUGAUGAAACACAGCUGACCUGUGGGAGGUGUUUCGCAUAUUAUCCGAGUCAACAGAAGGAGUUCGUCUUUACGAUCAGCUCCUUCCGACCAUCUCCGAGAUGUCAUCCGGAGAGUUGAAGUUUGCUCUUGCCAUCCGGUCUCUUCUCCAGAGUAUCGUCAGAGGUACAAUGAUUUAUAUUAAGAAUAUCUUCAAUAUAAUUAGCCCUAGCAUUUCAAGUGGAUGAAUGUUUAAUUAGUAAGAAUCAUGAUACCACUUAAAAAGUUGUCAAUUUGCUUUAAAAGGGUAUUUGUGGGGGAUAAAUGUAAAGGUGUACAUAUAAAUGAAAAUAUUGAGUGUUUUAUUAUGAGGUACAGCACAGUACAAGCUUUUAGGUAUGAUUUUGUCACCGCUAAAUCUGCAUUACACAUUUUGUAAUCUACUUUUAUUUCCAAAAUCUGGUUAAACUGUCUGGGUUUUUCUCACAGUAGGAGCAGAAAUAGGCACUCCUUGAUUAAUCACGCCUCCAUCACUGUGUCAAGCUCUGCUGACCUGGCUCUGUCAAUGGAAUGUGGCUGUGUACUAUUUACACUUUGGAGGUCACAUUGAAGCAACACUUAGCAAUGAUAGGGAAUUACGCAGUGCAGUAUAUAUUUUAUUUCAAUAUUGUUGCUGCUAGUGAGUUGUACUAAACAAGUAUCCACUAUGUAUUUCAUAACAUUGUAAUUUGUUUUGGCAUUCUCAAUUUUUGUUUCGGAUAUACUGUAUAUAUAGGGAUGCUGUAAUCUAAAAUUAGGUUUUGCAUACAUCAAGAGUACGUUUGUGGCUCCUCACGAGUUGUACUUGCUCAGAAAUAUAUACUGUACAGUAAUGUUAUAUACAGGUUGCACUUAAAAAAAUCCAAACAUCAUUUAUCCUCAAACUGUGAACAUCCAAAAGUGAUCGCAUUGAUUAUAAAAAUUUACCGCGCUGCCAGAUGAUGGCGUUUCAGCACACUAAGCUAAGAUAUCAUCACCGGGGCAUUUUCUCGUAGUCGGUCACUGAGUUACACCCUCCGACUCGCCGUCACCCGCACUUACGAACGGGAUCCCAAUACAUUCACCUCAAAAAGUUGUAAUUAAACUGUCAUUAUUUUCAUCAUUGUUUAACAGCACUUUAUGUUAUGUAACCUAAAGUAUGGGUCCAGGAACUUAUCCCUGUUGUAAGUUGCGGACGGCCUGUAUUAUUGUUAACAUUAUAUUUUGAGUUCCUUAGUUUAGUGUGUUUGUUAUACCUGUACAUGCAGUAUUAUAUAUUAGUUUAUAGUUGUCAUAUAUGUAGUAUUUUAUUUGGUGCUUAAUGAAAUAUUAGGGUUUUUAAUAAUGACCUUGAGUUAGCCAACAAGUUCAGUUAUCUGAAACAUUUUGGAUUUUUGAAGUGGAACCUAUAUUUCAACUCCCUCCUCCAAAUAUUAAUGUACUAUAGGAACAGAAAUGGUUGAUUUAAAUUAUUGCUCCAAACUGCACCACACCAUAGUGCCAUCUUUGGCAUAUACAGUAAAUGAACUUUUGUAAACUGUACUGUACAUAUUUAAUGUCACAUGAUGUGACAAUGUUUGUUUGGUCAAGUGCAUGUCAUUAGUGUAACGGUCGGUGCCAAAUCAUCGUUAUUUGGCGCCAUUCAUUUUUAGAUAUACCUGUAUCUCAUUUAUGAGACAUUGUUUAUCUAAGCCAAGAGUUGUUACGUCUUGCAUAUUUCAUCUCCGUCGUCAGAAAAUGUAACGGCGCGAUGUUGAGCAAUUUGUUGCCAGACUAUGGAUGAUAGAUAGGAUCUGUACAUAUCAUAUUAAGUCUUCAACACAAGAUAUUUAUUGUCAACUCUAAAUUAAAUAUGUUGUGAAUAAAACUUUUCAAUUUGUGUUACCAAAGUGAGAAUAAAAGAUUGUCUCCGGCCA